AUACGUACCUGGCAGGGGAGCUGUUGUCCAUGGUCAUGCAUGCGGGUGAGGCUCUGCCACAUUGCCCUCUGCUUGUGCUGACCCGUACGAUUUCCCCAAAGGCAGAAAACUCAACUGCAUAUUUUGUGGUAGAGGGGGAGACUGUGUUCGUGCUCUUCCCUG
This 162-nucleotide small nuclear RNA is filed under the name Sphenodon punctatus (tuatara). RNAcentral's name for it is "U1 spliceosomal RNA (ENSSPUG00000003674.1)". It matches the Rfam family "U1 spliceosomal RNA". Rfam says of the family: U1 is a small nuclear RNA (snRNA) component of the spliceosome (involved in pre-mRNA splicing). Its 5' end forms complementary base pairs with the 5' splice junction, thus defining the 5' donor site of an intron. The record is from RNAcentral. Lineage: Eukaryota; Metazoa; Chordata; Lepidosauria; Sphenodontia; Sphenodontidae.